Molecule: ribosomal RNA, 697 nt
Filed under: Actinomyces bowdenii
Lineage: Bacteria; Bacillati; Actinomycetota; Actinomycetes; Actinomycetales; Actinomycetaceae
Description: bacterial SSU rRNA
Rfam family: Bacterial small subunit ribosomal RNA
Source: RNAcentral
GACGAACGCUGGCGGCGUGCUUAACACAUGCAAGUCGAACGGUGAAGCCCUUUUUUGGGUGGAUGAGUGGCGAACGGGUGAGUAACACGUGAGUAACCUGCCCCCUUCUUCUGGAUAACCUCAUGAAAGUGGGGCUAAUACGGGAUAUUCUGGUCUGGUCGCAUGGCUGGGCUGGGAAAGAUGCGCCUUUUGGGUGUUUUUGGUGGGGGAUGGGCUCGCGGCCUAUCAGCUUGUUGGUGGGGUGAUGGCCUACCAAGGCGGUGACGGGUAGCCGGCCUGAGAGGGUGGACGGCCACACUGGGACUGAGACACGGCCCAGACUCCUACGGGAGGCAGCAGUGGGGAAUAUUGCACAAUGGGCGCAAGCCUGAUGCAGCGACGCCGCGUGAGGGAUGGAGGCCUUCGGGUUGUGAACCUCUUUCGCCAGUGAAGCAGGCCUGCUCCUGUGUGGGUGGGUUGACGGUAGCUGGAUAAGAAGCGCCGGCUAACUACGUGCCAGCAGCCGCGGUAAUACGUAGGGCGCGAGCGUUGUCCGGAAUUAUUGGGCGUAAAGAGCUCGUAGGCGGCUGGUCGCGUCUGUCGUGAAAUCCUCUGGCUUAACUGGGGGCUUGCGGUGGGUACGGGCCGGCUCGAGUGCGGUAGGGGAGACUGGAAUUCCUGGUGUAGCGGUGGAAUGCGCAGAUAUCACGAGGAACAC